UUAAUCCCAUCAGCCAGGCAGAAAUCUAAUCUUGUGCUAUAAAUUAGCCACUCCAUUGUACGGGCUUGUCCUGAGUUAGUUACAUACAAAUUACCAGAUAAAUGUCAAAUUAAAAUGUGCCUCGGUAAGGCUCCGUUGUGGUCCGCUAGCAAAAACUUCGUAAAGUUCUGCUCACCUUGAAUUCUUUGUAUAGAUCCGGGUGCCUGUCUUUAAGGUGCUUUGCUAGAUUGGACGUGUUUCCUCCUUUCGUAUUGAAUCCCUUUCCACAUCUUCGGCAAAUUGGGUUUUGGGGAUUUAUUAUGUCCCCUUUGUCGUUUGGCCUGAAGCCAAAGUACUUCCAUAUGUGGCUCCUGGUUCCCUUUUUUUCAACUAGCUGAGGCGGAGCGGCCGCUCCCGCUGCACUCGAUGUAGCCAUCUCCACCCAACUGUUUAGCUAGCAGCGGGCGGAUGUAAACAUCUCUUACGUCCGUUUCCUUCGGUACCAUCGGUACUACCGGUACCAUGAAAAUACAAGUACCGACAGUACGACAGCAGUGCUGGUACCGACUUGGUACCGAAGUACCGAGUACCGUGACAACCCUAAACCCCAUACAUCACAGAACCCUGAUCCAACCCAUACAUCACAGAACCCUGAUCCAACCCCAUACAUCACAGAACCUUGAUCCAACCCCAUACAUCACAGAACCCUGAUCCAGCCUCAUACCAACACAGAACCCUGAUGCAACCCCAUACAUCACAGAACCCUGAUCCAACACUAUACCAUUACAGAACCCUGAUCCAACCUCAUACCAACACAGAACCCUGAUCCAACCUCAUACCAACACAGAACCCUGAUCCAACCUCAUACAUCACAGAUCCCUGAUCCAUCCCCAUACAUCACAGAUCCCUGAUCCAACCCCAUACAUCACAGAACCCUGAUCCAACACUAUACCAUUACAGAACCCUGAUCAAACCUCAUACCAACACAGAACCCUGAUCCAACCCCAUACCAUCACAGAACCCUGAUCCAACACUAUACCAUCACAGAACCCUGAGCCAACCCCAUAACAUCACAGAACCCUGAUCCAACC
Molecule: long non-coding RNA, 1070 nt
Organism: Melanotaenia boesemani (Boeseman's rainbowfish)
Lineage: Eukaryota; Metazoa; Chordata; Actinopteri; Atheriniformes; Melanotaeniidae
Exons: 4
Source: RefSeq, a predicted model, not a curated record